RNAcentral lists this microRNA precursor (101 nucleotides) under Marmota monax (woodchuck). The record is from RNAcentral. Lineage: Eukaryota; Metazoa; Chordata; Mammalia; Rodentia; Sciuridae.
UUAGGAACCACCUGGGGAUCUUGCCAAAAUGCAAAUUCACAUUCAGGAGGUCUGGAGUGGGACCCAGGUGUCUGCAUUUCUGACAAGUUCCCAGGUCUGUG